Meleagris gallopavo (turkey) is the source of this 837-nucleotide non-coding RNA. The record is from RefSeq and is a predicted model, not a curated record. Lineage: Eukaryota; Metazoa; Chordata; Aves; Galliformes; Phasianidae.
AGGAUCUCCUUCUGGAGAUUCCUCUUCUGUGGAGUCUUUACUGUGAACCUAGAUUUUCAGAUACAGCUUCCGAAGACCACUUGUCUCAUUUACUUUAUGGCAGUUUUCAUGACAGAGAAACCCAAAGUAAAACACUACUUAUUCAUGGACUGAAGAUGAAUUUCCUGUUUGCUUGUGCAAGAAAGCAGAAAGCUGACAAGUGAGAAAAUCUAAAAAGAACAAAUUCUGCAUUACAGUGUAAAAACUGACGACAAACCCCUACCGUUCUGGUACUGUAGUGGCCUCAACGUGACUGCAUGAAAACCUGAUGGUACACGAGGAAACUGGACUAAAAUUAAAAUAGCGUUUUAACUUUAAAUUGAAAAAAAAAAAAAGAAUUGUAAAUUGUAAUAGUAGCAAAAUGUUCUGUGUAAGAUACACUUGUUUAAAGCAUUGUUUUGUACGGAGGCUGUAAAUCAAACUGAUUUUGACUGAAUCUUAAUAGGCAUACUAGUGAAUAAAUUUGAUACACUCUUAUGUAUUGUAUACCACAGAACUCAGAUAUAACCACAAGUAUCUAUUUUUUUAUUUAUAUUUAUUAAUUAUUAUUGUAUAUAUUGAUUAAAAUGCAUUACAUUUUUCAUAGUGAAGAGGUAGAAUUUUUUCACGCAUCAGUGAGACUUCCUAACAUCUCUUUAAAGUUUUAUUCACCUUUAGAUUUACCCUAAAGCAUGUUUCAAUUUCAUGUUGUUUGUGUAAGUAUCUUGACAUUGAGGUUAACUGCAGAGAUCCCACCUGAGACUAAAGGUUUUCCCCAGGAAAAAAGGUGUAAAUGAAAUAGUCAUUCUCUAGUUUUGU